GACGAACGCUGGCGGCGUGCCUAAUACAUGCAAGUCGAACGAACGGAGGAAGAGCUUGCUCUUCCAAAGUUAGUGGCGGACGGGUGAGUAACACGUGGGCAACCUGCCUGUAAGUUGGGGAUAACUCCGGGAAACCGGGGCUAAUACCGAAUGAUAAAGUGUGGCGCAUGCCACGCUUUUGAAAGAUGGUUUCGGCUAUCGCUUACAGAUGGGCCCGCGGUGCAUUAGCUAGUUGGUAGGGUAAUGGCCUACCAAGGCAACGAUGCAUAGCCGACCUGAGAGGGUGAUCGGCCACACUGGGACUGAGACACGGCCCAGACUCCUACGGGAGGCAGCAGUAGGGAAUCUUCCGCAAUGGACGAAAGUCUGACGGAGCAACGCCGCGUGUAUGAAGAAGGUUUUCGGAUCGUAAAGUACUGUUGUUAGAGAAGAACAAGGAUAAGAGUAACUGCUUGUCCCUUGACGGUAUCUAACCAGAAAGCCACGGCUAACUACGUGCCAGCAGCCGCGGUAAUACGUAGGUGGCAAGCGUUGUCCGGAUUUAUUGGGCGUAAAGCGCGCGCAGGCGGUCUUUUAAGUCUGAUGUGAAAGCCCCCGGCUUAACCGGGGAGGGUCAUUGGAAACUGGAAGACUGGAGUGCAGAAGAGGAGAGUGGAAUUCCACGUGUAGCGGUGAAAUGCGUAGAUAUGUGGAGGAACACCAGUGGCGAAGGCGACUCUCUGGUCUGUAACUGACGCUGAGGCGCGAAAGCGUGGGGAGCAAACAGGAUUAGAUACCCUGGUAGUCCACGCCGUAAACGAUGAGUGCUAAGUGUUAGGGGGUUUCCGCCCCUUAGUGCUGCAGCUAACGCAUUAAGCACUCCGCCUGGGGAGUACGACCGCAAGGUUGAAACUCAAAGGAAUUGACGGGGGCCCGCACAAGCGGUGGAGCAUGUGGUUUAAUUCGAAGCAACGCGAAGAACCUUACCAGGUCUUGACAUCCUUUGACCACUCUGGAGACAGAGCUUUCCCUUCGGGGACAAAGUGACAGGUGGUGCAUGGUUGUCGUCAGCUCGUGUCGUGAGAUGUUGGGUUAAGUCCCGCAACGAGCGCAACCCUUGAUUUUAGUUGCCAGCAUUUAGUUGGGCACUCUAAAGUGACUGCCGGUGCAAGCCGGAGGAAGGUGGGGAUGACGUCAAAUCAUCAUGCCCCUUAUGACCUGGGCUACACACGUGCUACAAUGGAUAGUACAAAGGGUCGCGAAGCCGCGAGGUGGAGCUAAUCCCAUAAAACUAUUCUCAGUUCGGAUUGUAGGCUGCAACUCGCCUACAUGAAGCCGGAAUCGCUAGUAAUCGUGGAUCAGCAUGCCACGGUGAAUACGUUCCCGGGCCUUGUACACACCGCCCGUCACACCACGAGAGUUUGUAACACCCGAAGUCGGUAGGGUAACCUUUAUGGAGCCAGCCGCCGAAGGUGGGACAGAUAAUUGGGGUGAAGUCGUAACAAGGUAGCCGUAUCGGAAGGUGCGGCUGGAUCACCUCCUUUCUAAGGAAAAGGAAACCUGUGAGUUUUCGUUCUUCUCUAUUUGUUCAGUUUUGAGAGGUUAGUACUUCUCAGUAUGUUUGUUCUUUGAAAACUAGAUAAGAAAGUUAGUAAAGUUAGCAUAGAUAAUUUAUUAUUUAUGACACAAGUAACCGAGAAUCAUCUGAAAGUGAAUCUUUCAUCUGAUUGGAAGUAUCAUCGCUGAUACGGAAAAUCAGAAAAACAACCUUUACUUCGUAGAAGUAAAUUGGUUAAGUUAGAAAGGGCGCACGGUGGAUGCCUUGGCACUAGGAGCCGAAGAAGGACGGGACUAACACCGAUAUGCUUUGGGGAGCUGUACGUAAGCGUUGAUCCAGAGAUUUCCGAAUGGGGGAACCCACUAUCUUUAGUCGGAUAGUAUCCUUACGUGAAUACAUAGCGUGAGGAAGGCAGACCCAGGGAACUGAAACAUCUAAGUACCUGGAGGAAGAGAAAGAAAAAUCGAUUUCCUGAGUAGCGGCGAGCGAAACGGAAAGAGCCCAAACCAAGAAGCUUGCUUCUUGGGGUUGUAGGACACUCUAUACGGAGUUACAAAAGAAAGUUAUAAAUGAAGCGGUCUGGAAAGGCCCGCCAAAGACGGUAACAGCCCGGUAGUUGAAAUGGCUUUCCCUCCAGAGUGGAUCCUGAGUACGGCGGAACACGUGAAAUUCCGUCGGAAUCCGGGAGGACCAUCUCCCAAGGCUAAAUACUCCCUAGUGACCGAUAGUGAACC
Molecule: ribosomal RNA, 2271 nt
Filed under: uncultured Listeria sp.
Lineage: Bacteria; Bacillati; Bacillota; Bacilli; Caryophanales; Listeriaceae
Description: partial contains 16S ribosomal RNA, 16S-23S ribosomal RNA intergenic spacer, and 23S ribosomal RNA
Rfam family: Bacterial small subunit ribosomal RNA (bases 1-1523)
Source: RNAcentral